UACGUAGGGUCCGAGCGUUGUCCGGAAUUACUGGGCGUAAAGAGCUCGUAGGUGGUUUGUCGCGUUGUUCGUGAAAACUCACAGCUCAACUGUGGGCGUGCGGGCGAUACGGGCAGACUAGAGUACUGCAGGGGAGACUGGAAUUCCUGGUGUAGCGGUGGAAUGCGCAGAUAUCAGGAGGAACACCGGUGGCGAAGGCAGGUCUCUGGGCCGAUACUGACGCUGAGGAGCGAAAGCGUGGGGAGCGAACAGG
Molecule: ribosomal RNA, 253 nt
Filed under: uncultured bacterium
Lineage: Bacteria
Description: partial 16S ribosomal RNA
Rfam family: Bacterial small subunit ribosomal RNA
Source: RNAcentral